RNAcentral lists this transfer RNA (74 nucleotides) under Actinotignum schaalii. Its description in RNAcentral is "tRNA-Gly". It matches the Rfam family "tRNA". From Rfam's summary of the family: Transfer RNA (tRNA) molecules are approximately 80 nucleotides in length. RNAcentral also lists the same sequence under 11 other names. Lineage: Bacteria; Bacillati; Actinomycetota; Actinomycetes; Actinomycetales; Actinomycetaceae. The record is from RNAcentral.
GCGAGUGUAGUUUAGUGGUAAAACCUCAGCCUUCCAAGCUGAUGAUGGGAGUUCGAUUCUCCUCACUCGCUCCA